CCUACGGGGGGCAGCAGUAGGGAAUCUUCCGCAAUGGACGAAAGUCUGACCGAGCAACGCCGCGUGAGUGAAGAAGGUUUUCGGAUCGUAAAACUCUGUUGGUAGAGAAGAACGUUGGUGAGAGUGGAAAGCUCAUCAAGUGACGGUAACUACCCAGAAAGGGACGGCUAACUACGUGCCAGCAGCCGCGGUAAUACGUAGGUCCCGAGCGUUGUCCGGAUUUAUUGGGCGUAAAGCGUGCGCAGGUGGUUUAUUAAGUCUGGUGUAAAAGGCAGUGGCUCAACCAUUGUAUGCAUUGGAAACUGGUAGACUUGAGUGCAGGAGAGGAGAGUGGAAUUCCAUGUGUAGCGGUGAAAUGCGUAGAUAUAUGGAGGAACACCGGUGGCGAAAGCGGCUCUCUGGACUGUGACUGACACUGAGGCUCGAAAGCGUGGGUAGCAAACAGGAUUAGAUACCCCGGUAGUC
Molecule: ribosomal RNA, 465 nt
Filed under: uncultured bacterium
Lineage: Bacteria
Description: bacterial SSU rRNA
Rfam family: Bacterial small subunit ribosomal RNA
Source: RNAcentral